Molecule: ribosomal RNA, 602 nt
Filed under: Pilaira anomala
Lineage: Eukaryota; Fungi; Mucoromycota; Mucoromycetes; Mucorales; Mucoraceae
Description: eukaryotic LSU rRNA
Rfam family: Eukaryotic large subunit ribosomal RNA
Source: RNAcentral
AGCUCAAAGUUGGAACCUGUUUGGCUUAGCUAAACCGGAUUGUAAACUGUAGAAGUGUUUUCCUGACACGCCUGGUAAAAAAGUCCUUUGGAACAGGGCAUCAUAGAGGGUGAGAAUCCCGUGUUUGGCCAGAGCUGUUGUCUUUUGUGAUACAUUUUCAAAGAGUCAGGUUGUUUGGGAAUGCAGCCUAAAUUGGGUGGUAAAUCUCACCUAAAGCUAAAUAUUUGCGAGAGACCGAUAGCGAACAAGUACCGUGAGGGAAAGAUGAAAAGAACUUUGAAAAGAGAGUUAAACAGUAUGUGAAAUUGUUAAAAGGGAACCGUUUGGAGCCAGACUGGCUUGACUGUAAUCAAUCUAGGCUUCGGCCUGGAUGCACUUGCGGUUUAUGCCUGCCAACGACAAUUUUUUUUGAGGGAAAAAACUAUUAGGAAUGUGGCCCCCUUCGGGGGGUGUUAUAGCCUUUUAGAAAAUACCUUGAAUUGGAUUGAGGAACGCAGUGAAUGCCUUUAGGCAAGAUUGCUGGGUGCUUUCGUUAAUAAAUGCUAGAAUUUCUGCCUUGGGUGGUGCUAGUGUUUAAAGAUGGAACUCGCCUGGUAUAUUUU